GACGAACGCUGGCGGCGUGCCUAAUACAUGCAAGUCGAACGCUUCUUCUUUCACCGGAGCUUGCUCCACCGAAAGAAGAAGAGUGGCGAACGGGUGAGUAACACGUGGGGAACCUACCUUCUAGCGGGGGAUAACACAUAGAAAUGUGUGCUAAUACCGCAUAACAAUGAUUGAUGCAUAUCGAUUAUUUGAAAGGCGCAAUUGCGUCACUAGAAGAUGGCCCCGCGGUGCAUUAGCUAGUUGGUGAGGUAACGGCUCACCAAGGCAAUGAUGCAUAGCCGACCUGAGAGGGUGAUCGGCCACACUGGGACUGAGACACGGCCCAGACUCCUACGGGAGGCAGCAGUAGGGAAUCUUCGGCAAUGGACGCAAGUCUGACCGAGCAACGCCGCGUGAGUGAAGAAGGUUUUCGGAUCGUAAAACUCUGUUGUAAGAGAAGAACGUUGAUGAGAGUGGAAAGUUCAUCAAGUGACGGUAUCUUACCAGAAAGCCACGGCUAACUACGUGCCAGCCGCCGCCGUAACAC
RNAcentral lists this ribosomal RNA (526 nucleotides) under uncultured bacterium. RNAcentral's name for it is "bacterial SSU rRNA". It matches the Rfam family "Bacterial small subunit ribosomal RNA", at positions 28 to 526 of the family's 1533-position model. The record is from RNAcentral.